ACCAUGUACAUUGUAGCCCGAAGAGAUGAUACAUUUCACUGAAUGAUACUACAAUAUGAUUGCACAUAUAUUACAGAGGCAGGAAGGAAACUGGAUCAGGUGAAAGAUUGAGCAACGAUCAGGUGAAAGAUUGAGCAACCGAUGAGGUGGUGACCAGGCCAGAUAACAGACCAACUAGAGAAGCACUGUUGUAGGUGCUGGGCUCAGACUGCAUGGAAUUAU
RNAcentral lists this long non-coding RNA (222 nucleotides) under Elaeis guineensis (African oil palm). RNAcentral's name for it is "long non-coding RNA (EGUI_LNC030086)". The record is from RNAcentral. Lineage: Eukaryota; Viridiplantae; Streptophyta; Magnoliopsida; Arecales; Arecaceae.